GGAAAUGGAUUUUCAGAUGUUGCUAGGUGACAUCUAAGAGUCUCUCUCUUGGUGAAGAACAGAGGUGCCCUGGGAAACCAGUCUGACUGUGAGAAUGGAAAUUUCCAGAUGUCUUAGACUCCCUUUUGUAAGCUGGAGUCUGGUGAAUUUAGCAUACAAAUCUGCAAGCCUUCCAGCUGAAUCCAAAUCAUCUCAGUACUUACAGCUCUGUAUCAGGACAAAGAUCAGGAAGCAUCGUGCAUCAGCAGCCUAGGAAAUGUAUCACCAUCUGCAGAAGACAAAUGUAUGAAUCUACAUCAGUGAUGAAAGUAUAACCUACACUCCAGUGAGGCCUGGCCGUGUGCAGAGGCACAAGAUGCUUUUGCUUACCUUCACAACAAGCUGGAUUGUGAAGACUGCAUGAGUUUAGAGAAGCUACAGCUGAAGUAUCAGCUUUGCAGCUUGGACUCUACCUCCCCUUCUGAAAGCAGUCAUGGAGUCUUUUCGUGCUGCUGGUAAGCCCAGGCAAGGCAAUGAAUUCUUUCUGUUGUCUGUCUGAUGUGGUGUUUUGCUGUGUUUACUCUGGGCUCACAUUUUGCCCAUGUUCUAGGGACUCUCUGAGACACUAUCAACAUAUUUACUGUUUGAAAAAAAGGCUGGAAAAGCUUCUCACAAGUUCUUCCUUUAAAUGCUUGUGUGCAUUCAGCUGGAAAGAGGUGGCAAGACCUGGUAUUUUACCCUCCUUGGCUGUUAGCUCUACUGAUGCUGAAUACUAAUUCCAUGCUGAAUUAUGUUUUGUGUGCUUAAAAUACAAAUAUGGAGAGAUAUUUAUGACCAAGAAAUAUAUGCUUAGUAUAAAUUUACAGAGUUAAUAGAUAAGAUGGAGCACUUAUAUUAGGGCUGGUUUAUUUUAUUGCUAUCGUUAACCUUCAUAUGGAGUUUAAAUCUAGCUGAAAAUAUGUGACAACUGGAAUCUAAAGAACACAGUACAUUUCCAUGUACUCUGCUAUUUCCUCCAUUAGAAAAUGCACUUGUGCUGCGACAGUGGUCCAGGGAGAUAGGAGAAGGAAAAGCAGAGGCCUAGAGUGGACUGCAAGGGUUGGGAAGACUCUGGCUCUUGUAGGUGUAGCUGAUGAGGGACCUCUGUCACCUCUUCGUUGGUAUCAUUGAUCCACAUUGUCUGUCUGCAGUGUUACAGAGAAAUGUGAACUCAUGGCACUGCUGAGGUCUGCUGGGAACAGUGUUUUUAGUACAUCCUGCUUCUAGUGGAUUUGGGAGCUGUGUGAAUAGUCUUUUAUGGACCAAAAUGUGCUUGAGCUGCACUGUCAGGAAGGAGUUUGUGAGGAGCUGAGUGAGGCAGAGAGGUGAAGAGGAAAUAUGAGCAGCUCAUUUGGAUUUCUGGAGAGCAUUUGAUAAAUGUACUUUCAAAAGUAACCAGCGGUGAACCCAGGUCCUUAACUCUGAUCCCUAACCUGGACUUCAAGUCACCUGCAUUUCGUUUGGGAUUCUGCAGAGCUUAGCUAAAUGCCAUGGCAGCACAUUCUCCCUGUCUGCUUCAGCCAAGUAAAUCCCUCAGAAAUACAAAUUCUAGUGCUUGACAAGAGCUGUGCACAAUAUUCCUGUUACAGUUGAUAUUCAGUUCAUACAAGGAGAAGGAACAGCCUCAAUAUUUGUUUUGAAAAACAAACAUGAAGUUUCCCCCCCACUGGUCUUCUUAUACACAUUCCCUACAUACUUCUGAUCUCUGUGCCUUUAUAGGGGGAGCUCCAGAUAAGAAUAUUUAAUCCCCCUGUUCUCAUGUGCUAUUUUGAGUUGGAUUCUCCUGAAUGUCAGUAGGAAGUUGGCACACACUAGGCUCUGAUACACAUGGAUGUUUUGCCCAUGGUGACUUGAGAUGACAAUGCCAGAUGUCAUUUUCAAAGAGGUGAUUUUUGUUCAUGGCAGUUCUGGAUAGUCUUAAGUUGUUCCUUAGUGUUCAGUUCUCUACUAAUACACCAGGGAAUCAUUUAGGUUGGAAAAGAUCCUUAACAUCAAAGGCAACCAUCAGCCUAACAGUAUGAGUACAUCACUAGAAUACUAGAACCUCCUUCAAGGCAGUUAUGAAGUGACAGAUUUUCCCUUAAUUUCCUCUUCUCCAGACUGAACAGCCUGGUUCCUUCAGUCUCUCUUCAAUGUCUUGUAUUCUGGUCCUAUCAUCAGCUUCAUUGCUCUUCUCUGAACA
Long non-coding RNA from Coturnix japonica (Japanese quail), 2200 nucleotides. RefSeq lists it as uncharacterized. The record is from RefSeq and is a predicted model, not a curated record. NCBI's taxonomy places the organism in Eukaryota, Metazoa, Chordata, Aves, Galliformes, Phasianidae.